RNAcentral lists this ribosomal RNA (496 nucleotides) under uncultured bacterium. RNAcentral's name for it is "partial 16S ribosomal RNA". It matches the Rfam family "Bacterial small subunit ribosomal RNA", at positions 28 to 506 of the family's 1533-position model. The record is from RNAcentral.
GAUGAACGCUGGCGGCGUGCCUAAUACAUGCAAGUCGAGCGAACAGACGAGGAGCUUGCUCCUCUGACGUUAGCGGCGGACGGGUGAGUAACACGUGUAUAACCUACUUAUAAUACUGGGAUAACUUCGGGAAACCGGAGCUAAUACCGUAUAAUCUAUUGAACCGCAUGGUUCAAUAGUGAAAGACGGUUUUGCUGUCACUUAUAGAUGGAUCCGCGCCGUAUUGGCUAGUUGGUAAGGUAACGGCUUACCAAGGCAACGAUGCGUAGCCGACCUGAGGGCGGGAUGGCGCACUGUGAAGGUGAGAGGCGGUCCAGGCUCCUAGGGAAGGCAGCAGUAGGGACUGUUGCGAAAUGGGCGGAAGCUUGCAGGAGCAACGCAGGGUGAGUGAUGAAGGUCCGCGGGUGGGAAGACGGUGUUAUUGGGGAAGAACGAAUGUGUAAGUAACUAUGCGCGAGUGGACGGAACCUGUAAAGAAGGCCACGGUAACUUACGU